GAUGAGCGCUGGCGGCGUGCCUAAUACAUGCAAGUCGAGCGAACAGACGAGGAGCUUGCUCCUCUGACGUUAGCGGCGGACGGGUGAGUAACACGUGGAUAACCUACCUAUAAGACUGGGAUAACUUCGGGAAACCGGAGCUAAUACCGGAUAAUAUAUUGAACCGCAUGGUUCAAUAGUGAAAGACGGUUUUGCUGUCACUUAUAGAUGGAUCCGCGCCGCAUUAGCUAGUUGGUAAGGUAACGGGUUACCAAGGCAACGAUGCGUAGCCGACCUGAGAGGGUGAUCGGCCACACUGGAACUGAGACACGGUCCAGACUCCUACGGGAGGCAGCAGUAGGGAAUCUUCCGCAAUGGGCGAAAGCCUGACGGAGCAACGCCGCGUGAGUGAUGAAGGUCUUCGGAUCGUAAAACUCUGUUAUUAGGGAAGAACAAAUGUGUAAGUAACUAUGCACGUCUUGACGGUACCUAAUCAGAAAGCCACGGCUAACUACGUG
RNAcentral lists this ribosomal RNA (497 nucleotides) under uncultured bacterium. Its description in RNAcentral is "partial 16S ribosomal RNA". It matches the Rfam family "Bacterial small subunit ribosomal RNA", at positions 28 to 507 of the family's 1533-position model. The record is from RNAcentral.